UCUUGGUCAUUUAGAGGAAGUAAAAGUCGUAACAAGGUCUCCGUUGGUGAACCAGCGGAGGGAUCAUUACCGAGUUUACAACUCCCAAACCCAAUGUGAACGUUACCAAACUGUUGCCUCGGCGGGAUCUCUGCCCCGGGUGCGUCGCAGCCCCGGACCAAGGCGCCCGCCGGAGGACCAACCAAAACUCUUUUGUAUACCCCCUCGCGGGUUUUUAUAUCUGAGCCAUCUCGGCGCCUCUCGUAGGCGUUUCGAAAAUGAAUCAAAACUUUCAACAACGGAUCUCUUGGUUCUGGCAUCGAUGAAGAACGCAGCGAAAUGCGAUAAGUAAUGUGAAUUGCAGAAUUCAGUGAAUCAUCGAAUCUUUGAACGCACAUUGCGCCCGCCAGUAUUCUGGCGGGCAUGCCUGUCCGAGCGUCAUUUCAACCCUCGAACCCCUCCGGGGGGUCGGCGUUGGGGAUCGGCCCUUUACGGGGCCGGCCCCGAAAUACAGUGGCGGUCUCGCCGCAGCCUCUCCUGCGCAGUAGUUUGCACACUCGCAUCGGGAGCGCGGCGCGUCCAUUGCCGUUAAACACCCAACUUUCUGAAAUGUUGACCUCGGAUCAGGUAGGAAUACCCGCUGAACUUAAGCAUAUCAAUAAGCGGAGG
This 648-nucleotide ribosomal RNA is filed under the name fungal sp. ARIZ B416. Its description in RNAcentral is "eukaryotic LSU rRNA". The stretch from base 267 to 420 matches the Rfam family "5.8S ribosomal RNA". Lineage: Eukaryota; Fungi. The record is from RNAcentral.